CCGCGUGAGUGAUGAAGGCUCUUCGGGUCGUAAAACUCUGUUGUUAGGGAAGAACAAGUGCUAAUUGAAUAAGAUGGCACCUUGACAGUACCUAACCACAAAACCACGGCUAACUACGUGCCAGCAGCCGCGGUAAUA
This 138-nucleotide ribosomal RNA is filed under the name uncultured Bacillus sp. Its description in RNAcentral is "partial 16S ribosomal RNA". It matches the Rfam family "Bacterial small subunit ribosomal RNA", at positions 397 to 525 of the family's 1533-position model. The record is from RNAcentral. Lineage: Bacteria; Bacillati; Bacillota; Bacilli; Caryophanales; Bacillaceae.